Non-coding RNA from Antechinus flavipes (yellow-footed antechinus), 531 nucleotides. Lineage: Eukaryota; Metazoa; Chordata; Mammalia; Dasyuromorphia; Dasyuridae. The record is from the annotation of a RefSeq genome assembly.
UCCUGCCCCUCAGGGCUCUGGCUGCUCUCUGCUCAGUCUCUGAAGGCCAGGAUGAGCUCCCCAUGGCAGCUGCUCUGGCUCCUGGUGCUCUGGGCUCAGGAUUCCCAAGGAGCCAUUGUGCUGACCCAGUCUCCAGCCUCCUUGUCUGCAUCUCCAGGAGAGAGAGUCACCAUCCGCUGCAAGGCCAGUGAGAGUGUGUCUCUUUUUGGUACUAGCUUCUUGCACUGGUACCAGCAGAAACCUGGCCAAGCCCCCAGGCUCCUCAUCUAUGAUACUAACAGCCUGGCAUCCGGGGUCCCUGCCCGGUUCAGUGGCCGUGGGUCUGGGACAGAUUUCACUCUCACCAUCAGCAGCCUGGAGCCUGAGGAUGCUGCACAUUAUUACUGUCAGCAGUCUAGGAGCUCCCCUCUCCCACAGUGCUUCAGGCCCGAACAAAAACCUCCCCAGUGCAUCCAGGGGACUCAGCUCAGAGCAGCAGGAGAUCCCUUGGAGCAGAGGAUCCAGGUAGAGAUCCAGCAGAGACGGCAGUGA